CCUACGGGUGGCAGCAGUAGGGAAUAUUGCUCAAUGGGGGCAACCCUGAAGCAGCAACGCCGCGUGGAGGAUGACGGUUUUCCGAUUGUAAACUUCUUUUGAUAGAGAAGAUAAUGACGGUAUCUUACGCAUAAGCACCUGCUAAAUCAGUGCCAGCAGCCGCGGUACGACGGAGGGUGCAAGCGUUACUCGGAAUCACUGGGCGUAACGGGCGCGUAGGCGGGGUAGUAAGUCAGAUGUGAAAUCCUAUGGCUGAACCAUAGAACUGCAAUUGAUACUGUUAUUCUAGAGUAUGGGAGAGGUAGGUGGAAUUCGUGGUGUAGGGGUAAAAUCCGUAGAGAUCAAGAGGAAUACUCAUUGCGAAGGCAGCCUGCUAGAACAUAACUGACGCUGAUGCGCGAAAGCGUGGGGAGCAAACAGGAUUAGAUACCCGAGUAGUC
Molecule: ribosomal RNA, 440 nt
Filed under: uncultured bacterium
Lineage: Bacteria
Description: partial 16S ribosomal RNA
Rfam family: Bacterial small subunit ribosomal RNA
Source: RNAcentral